Molecule: ribosomal RNA, 620 nt
Filed under: uncultured bacterium
Lineage: Bacteria
Description: bacterial SSU rRNA
Rfam family: Bacterial small subunit ribosomal RNA
Source: RNAcentral
UAAACCUCUUUCAGCGCUGACGAAGCCUUUGGGUGACGGUAGGCGCAGAAGAAGCACCGGCUAACUACGUGCCAGCAGCCGCGGUAAUACGUAGGGUGCGAGCGUUGUCCGGAAUUAUUGGGCGUAAAGAGCUCGUAGGCGGUUCGUCGCGUCGGCUGUGAAAACCCGGAGCUCAACUCCGGGCCUGCAGUCGAUACGGGCGGACUUGAGUGUUGCAGGGGAGACUGGAAUUCCUGGUGUAGCGGUGAAAUGCGCAGAUAUCAGGAGGAACACCGGUGGCGAAGGCGGGUCUCUGGGCAACUACUGACGCUGAGGAGCGAAAGCGUGGGGAGCGAACAGGAUUAGAUACCCUGGUAGUCCACGCCGUAAACGUUGGGCGCUAGGUGUGGGGGCCAUUCCACGGUCUCCGUGCCGCAGCUAACGCAUUAAGCGCCCCGCCUGGGGAGUACGGCCGCAAGGCUAAAACUCAAAGGAAUUGACGGGGGCCCGCACAAGCGGCGGAGCAUGUUGCUUAAUUCGAUGCAACGCGAAGAACCUUACCUAGGCUUGACAUGCACGGAAAUCUCGCAGAGAUGCGGGGUCCGUAAGGGCCGUGCACAGGUGGUGCAUGGUUGUCGUCA